GAUGAACGCUGGCGGCGUGCCUAAUACAUGCAAGUCGAGCGAACGGACGAGAAGCUUGCUUCUCUGAUGUUAGCGGCGGACGGGUGAGUAACACGUGAUAACCUACCUAUAAGACUGGGAUAACUUCGGGAAACCGUAGCUAAUACCGGAUAAUAUUUUGAACCGCAUGGUUCAAAAGUGAAAGACGGUCUUGCUGUCACUUAUAGAUGGAUCCGCGCUGCAUUAGCUAGUUGGUAAGGUAACGGCUUACCAAGGCAACGAUGCAUAGCCGACCUGAGAGGGUGAUCGGCCACACUGGAACUGAGACACGGUCCAGACUCCUACGGGAGGCAGCAGUAGGGAAUCUUCCGCAAUGGGCGAAAGCCUGACGGAGCAACGCCGCGUGAGUGAUGAAGGUCUUCGGAUCGUAAAACUCUGUUAUUAGGGAAGAACAUAUGUGUAAGUAACUGUGCACAUCUUGACGGUACCUAAUCAGAAAGCCACGGCUAACUACGUG
Molecule: ribosomal RNA, 496 nt
Filed under: uncultured bacterium
Lineage: Bacteria
Description: partial 16S ribosomal RNA
Rfam family: Bacterial small subunit ribosomal RNA
Source: RNAcentral